Polypterus senegalus (gray bichir) is the source of this 313-nucleotide long non-coding RNA. RefSeq lists it as uncharacterized. Lineage: Eukaryota; Metazoa; Chordata; Cladistia; Polypteriformes; Polypteridae. The record is from RefSeq and is a predicted model, not a curated record. The transcript has 3 exons.
CUCCCAAAGCUGUGGCUACCACUUAAUGAAGAAACCGCAUGGGAUCCUCUUUGAAACUCCCUAUAAGGCUUGCCAUAUCCAAAUUGUGAAUCAUUACUAUACAUUGACUAUUGUCUACAAGCCCGUGCUGGUCCCAAAUUGUGGUGAACAUGAAAUGUCCUGUGAGCUGGCACCCACCAUUGCCACUGUCUACACCUAUAAAGCCCUCUACACUUAAGCCACCUCACAUAGAUUGUGGAGCAUCCAGCAUGUCUCUAGAGCUUCCCAGUAGCUUGCUGGGUCAGGUUCAAGUACUGGAUAAAUCUCACCACCA